Pseudoliparis swirei is the source of this 4354-nucleotide long non-coding RNA. RefSeq lists it as uncharacterized. The transcript has 6 exons. Lineage: Eukaryota; Metazoa; Chordata; Actinopteri; Perciformes; Liparidae. The record is from RefSeq and is a predicted model, not a curated record.
CGCAAGACAAGCAGGCACGUACCCGCUUGCAGACUGUCUGGAGUCUGUCUGAAAUUGAUCAAAUUGGAGAUGGAGUUUUGCAUCUGUAUGUACAUUUACAAAAAGCCGCCAGUUGGAAAUGGGAUUUUUUGGUUCGCUCUCCUCCUCAAACGUCUUCGCCCACGAGUCGCCAAGCGAAGCCAAAGAUAUUUUACAGAUAAACGCUGUGAAAGUUUUUUCUUCUGCAGUCGAGCAGCAGACAGCUCUUUAUGCACAGGAGAUCAGCCGUCAGCCCUGGAGUUCAAGAGGAGGGCAUCAUCCAGAUGGCAGUCUGCACAGCUCAGAAAGGCCUUUUCCCAAAUGAAAAGGAUUGGAAUCGCAACUAGAAAGGACAUCCAUGGUCUCCUGCAGCCUGUCAUGCCUUCAUGUCUUCAACGCUGGAGUGUUUCCGCCUAAAUGGUCUGACUGCCAUCUCAUAGCAACUCUAUUGCAGAGCAGCCCACAUCCCAAACUGCAGUGAGGAGAAUUUUAAGGUAAAUGUCCAAAUCCUCUAUUUUUAAGUCUUCCUACUCUGUGUCUGUGUGUGUGUCUCCGUCUCCUCCACUCCACAGUGUAGAGAGCUGGUGGUGGACUAGGAGGAAGAUGUCAUGCUAAGGAUGGUUUUGGUGAUGUUGCUGCUGCUGUUGCAGCAUCGAGCUCUCACUUUGUGCCUCUGUCAGUUAUGAUGCGUAGCCACACAGUGAGUGACAGGCCAAUCCCCGGGAGAGCAGGGGGCCUGAGGUGAGUCAGAUGUAUCCUUGACCCUGUCUAGCUGUGUCGGCAAGCAACACAAACUCUGUAACAGAGGCCCAAAAUGGCAUGACUGUACAUUGUACAUCUUAAUUUAGUAUAUAGAAAGAGAACGUACCAAACACAACCAACUUGACUAUUUAUGUUGAAGAGAUCUGCUUUUCAUUACUAACUCCCUCAUCUUCUGAAUUAUGAAAUUAUAAUGCAGCAUCUCGCAUUACUGCACCUUUGUAUGUCGUUGCGUACAUUUGGUUUUCACUGUUUUUAGAACCUGUCUCAGACAUGAACCUGGAACUGAUUCUGGUAGAUUUUCAACAUAGUUUACUUUCGUGCACUUCAGAUGCGCUACUAUGGCUUUAAAGAAGUCGGAGAAAGGUAUUAUUAUUCCUGUGACAUUCUGUGGAGUCAGUUUUUCUUUGUAAAGCUUGUUUAAGUGAAGGUUUUGUUGUAAACCCCUUAUAACUGAAAUAGCUAGUAUUUUAAACGGACCUCUUUCAGAGUUUCAGGGAGCAUGCGAGUAGACGAUGGUACUAAGUUAACUUGAGAAAACCUUCAUUCAGGUCUUUACAUUACACAUUAAAAUGGCCAAAGAAUCAGUAGUUUCCAAAUGCAACAUCACAAUGCUUGAAGGGGAUCUGACAGUUAGUGAAAUGUGUGAUUUAGAGUGAGAAAUGUUCUCCAUGCCUCGGCACUGCUUGUUAGAAUGAAUCGCUAAUCAGUGAUUAAUAAAUGUUUCUUCCAAUCCAAAUGCUGUGAUACAAUUGUGUAUUGCAACAUAAUAUCUGUUUUAUUUUUGCAAUUCUCAUCUUGUUUUUGGUUUGCAUUAUUAUUCAUAUAAGUCUACGUGUGUCUUAUUAUUGGUAUGAUUAUAUUUAGUGAUGAAUCAGUUGAUUCAUCUAUUAGUUGAAUGGAAAAUUACCAACAACAAUUCUGACGAUUAAAGUCAUUUAUCAACCAAUGCUUUUCUGUUUUAUGUCAUUAUACAGUUAAUAUAUUUGGAUUGUUUUACUGUUGGUAAAAAAAGCAAUUUGCUGAUGUUCCUCAUGUUCUGGUAAUUUAUGAUGGCCAUUUAUUUUUUUGUUAUUUCAUCCACUGGAUGAUAAAUGUAAACAAAAAAUGAAUCGUAAUGAGAAUAUUCGUCAAAUGCAGCUUUUUGUGUUUAAGUGUGUUAAAAAUAAACAAACAGUUGAAAUGUUAAGGGUUCAAAUUAUAACACUUUGGUUCGUGGAGGAAUAUCUGCUUUAAUUUGCUCAAAGGAAAACGGCUUGUUGCACCAAAACGAGUAACGUUCCCAACGCAGUCGUGAAUGUUGCAUUAAAAGCAGUCUGCAUAAAAGUCAGUGUAACGGAAACAAUCGCUGCGACCCAUGUGAUCUUUUUAAAUGUAACCAAAGUAGAUUUUAGAAAUAAAUACCAACUUUUUUUAUGUUAUCUAUUUUCUGUAGAAAUGUUACCUUUACUCUUUUAACGUUGUGUCCCGUAACUUGAGACAAAUCUUGUUGCGACAAACAUGAUUGGGUCAGUGUUGACCAGAAGCAACGCUGCUUAUACGCCACUUUAUAAACAACUAAGUGAAAUGCUAAAUGUUUAAAUGCAGCCCCUGAAGCACGAAACAUCCACUCAAGAAACCAGAUACGGUAUGAGGAGGAAAAAAGCACAUGGGGGGGAUUUGUUAUUCCUGAAUUUGGUGAAGUGAACAAAAAAUAAUCUUUAUUGAAAAAGUCUUUCAUUUCUUCAGAAGGGUCGCUCAAACACGGUGUGUGAAAUCAGAGUUGCCUGGGUGUGACUUUUCCAGAGAGCAUCCGCUUGCCAUUGUCUGCCUAGUCAACUUCUGCAGGCCCCAGUGCCCUGACUUCCAUACAUGAGAGAUCAAGGGUUACCAAGGUGCUUUUGAGAAAGGAGGGCUCAAUGUGAGGGGGGGACAAACCAGUCCACAAAAUACUCAUUUCCUUUGCAUGUUAGGAGCCCUAGUGGGGAUUCAGACGGGGUCACUGACACGGCCGCUGGGGUUGACUUUUUUCUUCUUCUUCCGUUCUCCCCUUGGUUGUUCUUAAUGAAAACUGUUGCUUGCCUUUCCGUCCGCUUGCAACAGCUUUCUGCCGCCCGUACAGUAUGAGGCUGGAUAAUGUGCCGAUUUUGCCCAAAAGAAAGUUUGUUCAGACUCUGUUCAUCCACACAGAGGUACCUCGUGUAGAAAAGGUAAAAGUAAUUCUGUCCACUUCUCUUUCUUGCCAGAAAGUUCAGUCACUGAGCCACGGCAUUAACUUGUAUUCUAACAAGAUUAAAAUAUAUUCGUCCUGGGGAUUAGCAUAGUUAGGUGUCCUUUUGCCUCUUUUUUCCCCCUGCACUGGUGCGGUGACAGUGGGCUUUGAUCUGUGUUGCGAGGCAAGCGUCCUGGCUUGGACCUAGCCAUUCGAGUGCCAAGUGUGAAAUUGGCCUGAUGUCAUCCCCAUUCUUCACCUUUUACAUCUUUCACCACUUUAAUUAUGUUUCCGCCACAAAGCCUAGGCACCUCCGAGCAGAUUCCACUCUGGCCGUAGGAAGCAUUUAGAAACUGGGUAAAUGACACAGUAGGGGAGGGGGAGGAUGGUAGGAGAGGUCAGAGCGGGAUGGGGCCCUUUUGUGCUUGGAGGUAGACGUUGACACUUCCCUGAUGUAUCCUCUGCUCACUUCCAUUUGUACAGCAUGGGAACUUGGGGAGACUGUCGACAAUGCGCCAGAAAAUCACUUUUAUGCCAGGCUUAUUUAUUUAUUUUUAUUCCAGAAGAGAUGUUUAUUUCCCUGUGUUAUCGACCCAGAUUACUGCUGAUGUAUACUGUAUGGUGUCUUCACAGCCAUGCGGGACUUCUUUGUCGUGUGAGGCCGUCGGACGGUCCGAACAAAGACUUCUCCUGGUGACUCGACCACCUGAAUCUCACUUCCGGCGAUGAGACGUAUUAUUGUCCGAUGAAGGCCGUUGGUUCCAUGAGCGUGUGCCCACGCAGACGCACGGCUUCAGCCAUUGUUCAUGCGUCGGUGUCCCCAUCUGAACUUCGGGGAGCGUCUCUGCCGAGGCGGCGGGCAAGGCUGACCGUCGCGCCGACAGUGCUGGGAGUCGCGCCGCUCGCCCCACCGCUAGUCACUGGCCGUUCGACAUGCCCUGCAAAGACUAGCGGUGCAAGUAUGGAAAUGCAGAUCAGGCAUUGUGGAGGAAACAUGCCUGGGAAUUGUUCGAGGCUUUCCCCUUGCAUAAUGCGGGGAUGCUUUCCCAAAUGUUUUAAUCUCAAAACUCAUGAAUUUGAUCCUCCGUGAAUGUGUUCCCGAACCGCCCAUAAAUGGAGUGGGCGUUUACAUUCAAAGGAUUGUCAUGCUAAGCAAAUUAAUAGUGUUUGUGAUUGUGUUUUUGUAUACUUGGCAACAUGUUCGACACUAUUUGAGCCGUCAGAAGCUCAGCAUUGAUUGAAGGCCUCUGUUGUAUUGUUUCUGCUUUUUUUUUAAUGGAAAUAUAUAAACUAUUUUCUUCACAUAAAGAUGCUCGAGACUUGUUUGUGUAUAAUAGUCAAGGUUUAUUUACUCUUCUUUUGCAGUGUUCAGGAGGCAGUUAAUUA